RNAcentral lists this long non-coding RNA (2008 nucleotides) under Hordeum vulgare. Its description in RNAcentral is "long non-coding RNA (HVUL_LNC001806)". The record is from RNAcentral. Lineage: Eukaryota; Viridiplantae; Streptophyta; Magnoliopsida; Poales; Poaceae.
GAUGAGAUUGUUGCGCGUGUGGACGUACCAGCAGCGUUCACCGGCCGGUAAGGUUGACUGGUCGUCCGGCGGCAAUUCCGAGGAAGCCGAAUUCGUCGCCGUUUGGACCUCACCUCCCCUGCUGCCCGUAUUACAGCCUUCUUCUCCAACUCCGACCGCCUCGAUCUCCACCGCUGGUGAUCCACCAACGAAUCCCCCCUCCUUCUCUCUCAUCCUCUCUCUCUCUCUCUGGCUAAGCAAGCGACAUGCUCUCUCUUCUCACUGUUCUGAAUCUGAGUAGUAAUUAAAUGGUAGUAGACCAUGCUUUUGUCUUUUUGAGACAUUAUUCAUGCUGGAUUUGUCAUUUUCUUCUCUAUGUGGAUCUCGAAUUUGGAUUUCACCUUUUUAGGGGAUGUAGACAUAUGCCCUGUUAAUGUCCACAAAUCUUUUUUGAUUUUUUUUCCAAAACAUUCAAAGUUUAGUUUUUCAACGUUGGAGCAUGAGAGCAUGUGAGAUUUUGGAGCACCCGAUACUUUCCCGUAUGGUUGCAGCUGGGUUCCCAAUGCUAUAUCAUGCCAUCUUAAGCAGUUUUAACAUGCUCCCUCUUACCCCCUCUUUUCACAUUAGAGGUAAGAGUAUACAACAGAUCUGACCCGCUGCAACGACGAUCGAAAACAUAGCAAAACAAUCUAAAAAAUAAGAAACUUUGUAGUUUGGAUUAUGACCAAUUGUUUUAGGUGCUUGCAACAUUUGGUGAUCAAAUGACAUGUGAGGAGCUCUAAAAAAACAAUUUGUGCUCAAACAUAUGAACAGUAAACUUGGGUGUAGAGCAGAGUUUGUAUUUCGUUUUGUACCAAGCUCCUCGAAUGUCAAUUUUUCCAUCAAAUUUUGCAAGCAUAUAAAACGUUUGCUCAUAAUCAAUGCCACAAACUUUUAGAAUUAUUUAAUUCUGAUUUUACUGUUCAUUUUGUGGGUGCACCGAAAUUGGGUGCAGCCACUACUUUCACUUUCAGUAAUUUCAUCCUUGCACAAUCUUUGUUGUGUUUCUUACCUUCUUUUUUUGCACUAUCAUCAUUUCAGUAAUUUCAUCCUUGUACAAUUACCAUCAGUAGUGAAGUACACAUAUUUAACAACACACAACCAAGAUACAACAAAUGUUGUUGUUUGUCUUAACAUCUUCAGAGCUUUUUUCCAAAUAAGGGGAGGUGUUUUUUUCAAAUCGAACUGACAACCAAGCACCCAUAGCAUCCAUCAGAGCUUUCGGAAGGUGCAACCUUCACAGCACGGCGUCCUCUCUGCAAAGCUUCAACAACCGAGGCAGUGACGGGGGCAUCCUGCCUUGUUUUGCCAUUCUUUGUCUAUCUUAACUAAAGGAACAUCCUCUACUAUUUCUUGGAUGUUUUUUUUAUGUUCUGUUACUGUUUCAAAAGUCACAAGGAUUCUUCUAAUUUGUCAUUCUUUGUAGUUUGUUGUCCAUAUGUGGCUGUCAGACUAAUUACUUUUCCUUGGAUGCUUUUUUCUCUAUCCGUUCUGUUAUCGUUGAUAGUGGGACCCGAUCCUUUUCCAAGAUCCUAUGAAAGAAAAACAUGUGGCUCUCAAACUGAUUACUUACUUAGCAGUUUUAAUUAACAUGCUCUCUCUUACCCUCUCUUUUCACAUAAGAUAAGAGGUAAAAGUAUAUACCGUUGAUAUAAUUAAUUAGUGGUCAGAUUAACUCUAAUCUUUUUACCUGAGAUGUAAAAAAGGAGGUAAGAGGAAGCAUGUUAAAAUUUGCCUUACUUUUUCUUGGCUCAAGCUAGCUAUGAACAUGCAUGUCUCUUUAUCUCUCACUAGUUUUAUAUGUGCAUGCAACUGAGGUAGUAAUACGGAAUAAAACAAGUAAUGCGUUUCAGGUUGACGUACCCUUGACACACAAACACAACACACCUGGGCACUGAGAGAAUGAGUUUGCAGUACUGGAACCAUCCUGCGGCGGUGCAACUUAUUUUGCUCAAUGAACAAGCAGCAAUAGUCAACAACCUUACUGAAA